CUACAACCGGUGUGUGAUAAAAUCCUAGGAAGGAUGAAGGGGUGGAAACUGGCCCUGUUAAGUCUGGACGGGAGGUUGGACUUGGUUAAGAAGGUCUUGUCAGCAAUGCCAAUCUUCCAAAUGAUUGCAAUUCAUAUAACAACCUGGCUCGAGAAGAUGAUCGACAAGGUCAGGAGAGGGUUUAUUUGGGAAAGCAAGGAAGAGGCCACUAGUGGCAAAUGCUUGGUAAACUGGAAAAGGGUCUGUCGCCCAACUGAAUUGGUGGCCUAG
This 270-nucleotide ribosomal RNA is filed under the name Triticum aestivum (bread wheat). RNAcentral describes it as "partial small subunit ribosomal RNA". Lineage: Eukaryota; Viridiplantae; Streptophyta; Magnoliopsida; Poales; Poaceae. The record is from RNAcentral.